RNAcentral lists this ribosomal RNA (253 nucleotides) under uncultured bacterium. RNAcentral describes it as "partial 16S ribosomal RNA". It matches the Rfam family "Bacterial small subunit ribosomal RNA", at positions 524 to 776 of the family's 1533-position model. The record is from RNAcentral.
GACAGAGGGUGCAAGCGUUGUUCGGAAUUAUUGGGCGUAAAGCACACGUAGGCGGUUUUCUAAGUCUGAUGUGAAAGCCUUGGGCUCAACCCAAGAAGUGCAUCGGAAACUGGGAGACUUGAGUUUCGGAGAGGGUGGUGGAAUUCCGAGUGUAGAGGUGAAAUUCGUAGAUAUUCGGAGGAACACCAGUGGCGAAGGCGACCACCUGGACGAAAACUGACGCUGAGGUGCGAAAGCGUGGGGAUCAAACAGG